UACGUAGGUGGCAAGCGUUAUCCGGAUUUAUUGGGCGUAAAGGGAACGCAGGCGGUCUUUUAAGUCUGAUGUGAAAGCCCUCGGCUUAACCGGAGUAGUGCAUUGGAAACUGGGAGACUUGAGCGCAGAAGAGGAGAGUGGAACUCCAUGUGUAGCGGUGAAAUGCGUAGAUAUAUGGAAGAACACCAGUGGCGAAAGCGGCUCUCUGGUCUGUAACUGACGCUGAGGUUCGAAAGCGUGGGUAGCAAACAGG
This 253-nucleotide ribosomal RNA is filed under the name uncultured bacterium. Its description in RNAcentral is "partial 16S ribosomal RNA". It matches the Rfam family "Bacterial small subunit ribosomal RNA", at positions 524 to 776 of the family's 1533-position model. The record is from RNAcentral.